Molecule: RNA transcript, 2050 nt
Organism: Oncorhynchus gorbuscha (pink salmon)
Lineage: Eukaryota; Metazoa; Chordata; Actinopteri; Salmoniformes; Salmonidae
Gene name: RNA-binding protein 4.1-like
Exons: 4
Source: RefSeq, a predicted model, not a curated record
UGGGCGGGACUUGUUGCAUUGUUUAAAAAAAACGGACGUGUGGUGUUAUAUCCGCUUCAUGCACCUCAAACGUUUGUUUGUGGACCGCCAUUAUACGCACAGAAGGAAGGGUUGGUGUAACGUUAACGUGUGUCGUCGUCGUCCUAGUAGCAGUGAGGCUCUGCGUUAACAUAGAGAUGGUGAAGAUCUUUAUUGGAAACCUCCCUAACGAGGUCGAAAAGGAUGAGAUUGAGGCCCUGUUUACUGAACAUGGCACAGUGACAGAAUGUGCAAAGUUCAAAAACUAUGCCUUUGUCCACAUGGAUGACCGCAAGUCUGCAACCAAAGCCAUCCGCAGCCUGCACCUCUUCAAGCUUCAUGGCAGGCCAAUCAAUGUGGAGCCGAGCAGGGGAAAGAACCAGGGUCCAGUGAAACUUCAUGUGGCCAAUGUGGAGAAAGGCAACGGUGAUGAGCUCCGCACUCUGUUCGAGGAGUAUGGAACAGUGACAGAAUGUGCCAUCAUAAAAAAUUUCGCAUUCAUUCACAUGUCCAACUCAGAUGAGGCCAAGGAUGCCAUAAAGGGAUUAGACAACACUGACUUCCAAGGCAAACGGAUUCACGUUCAGAUGUCAAAAAGCCGUCCCAGAGGGGAGGAAGAGGAUUACGGCCCUCCACCAGAUAGGGGUGGAUACUGGCCACCAUCCCGUGGCUACCCUGGGGACAGGGGUCUGCGUGAGCCCCCUCAUUACAGAGGUCGCAUGUCAGGGGGUUACCCUGGCCCCCCCUCCACCUCCCCCUAGACGAGUCCCUUACCCCCCAGAGCGUGCUUAUGAGCGUGAGAGGGAAAGCUACGGGGUGGUCGAUUACUAUGAGAAGUACAGAGCGCGCCCUGCCCCUUACGGUGGCCUUUCAGGCUAUGGAGAUGAAAGGCGUGUUGGUGCCAUACCCCCUCCACCACCACCCCCUUCUGCCAUGGUUAGGGAGCGCCUUGGGGCCUCCUCCCUCAACCCAUACGAGCGCCGCCCCCUCCCUCCUCCGUCCUCCUACUAUGCCCGUGAUCGCAGUCCCAUCAGAAGACCCCCUCCCCCCAUGCCCCCCCGCAGGUAACGGCUACUCCUAUGAGCGCUCUCGGCUCUCUCCUCUGUCCAGGCCAGCGAUGUACAGCGUACCACGUACCAGAGACCCCUAUGCUGAGAGGGUGCCUCUGCCCCCUCCUGCCCGCUACUCGUAUUGAAAGCACACUGGUGCUUGACUCAAGGGUUAAAUUAUCCGACAAGAUCGUCGUCUCCUGAUGCACGUGGCACUAUACCCCCCCUUCGUCUGUGGCGUUGCGUUCACCUGCGACUUACUGGAAGAUACUCUAUUGCUUGCGGCCACCCAUACAAAAAAAUACGCUUUUGUCUACGGUUUCGUCCUCUUUCUUGAACUGUUUUACAUUUGUUCUGCUUGAUUUUAUUGUUCGAGGUUCAUAAGCUGUUUUGGGGCAAAGGAUAAAGGCAGAGGGGGUUACUGUAUUUGAGGUGUUAUUCUAUUUUGAAAUGACGCAGUACUCCUAAGGGCUCUAUGUUGGCCUAAGACCUAACAUAAAAUUUCUUCCUUCAUAAAAUAAUUUUCAUGGAUACAAACCCUCUAAACUGUGAUAUUCAUGAAGGGACUAUUUGAAUGUUAAUUAAAUAGCAAUCCAUGUAAUUUUGGUAAACAUGAAUGUUACGAAGAUUCUGCAGAUGUCUUUUUCAGAGCUGUACCUAGCUUCAGUUUGAUUAAUAAACCACACACUCAUUUGCAUAAUUAGUCCAACAACGUGUUAGUGUAAUAUCGCUUUAACUGGUGUGAUCUUGGUUUUGGGUGGUACUUACCAGUAUUCAAGACGUUUUGCGACGCAACUGUUAGCGUAGUGAUUUAACUACCUAUGCAAAUUUGAUUUGUUAGACAUUUUGUGUUCAAUUAUAUGCCGAUUUUACAUACCUAGAUACCCCAAAGCUGCGUUUUAUGUAUGGUUUUCUUUUCUUUACAGAUGCCAUUUUUGAUUUCAAAGCUUUUUAAUAAACAGAUUUGAACUAUCGUCACUGAA